GCGGGUUUAGCUCAGUUGGGAGAGCGUCAGACUGAAGUCCACUUCACUCAUAAAUCUGAAGGUCGUGUGUUCGAUCCACACAAACCGCA
Transfer RNA from Neurospora crassa OR74A, 89 nucleotides. It matches the Rfam family "tRNA". From Rfam's summary of the family: Transfer RNA (tRNA) molecules are approximately 80 nucleotides in length. Their secondary structure includes four short double-helical elements and three loops (D, anti-codon, and T loops). Lineage: Eukaryota; Fungi; Ascomycota; Sordariomycetes; Sordariales; Sordariaceae. The record is from Rfam.